CUCGAAAUGGUUCACACGUUCGGCACAUGACUCGUAAGUGAUGGACUUUGGUCUCGAGAAAAUCUAAAUAUACCCCUUCUCGCAUCUCAAUUUCAAAAUAAUCGAUUGUGUCGUCUAGCCCAGCAGUCUGCUCUUCUGGCUGGACUGGGACUGGGACUGGGGCUGCGACUGCCAUCGCGACUGCAGUGGGUCCAGGGUCCAAGUUCUCAAUCCAUCUUGUUCAAUAUCGUUCAUGGCUCGCCCUUACUCCUCUUCAUUUCAAUUGUUUUAUAUUGUACAAAAUUCAUGGAAAGUUUCCCCAGUGUACUGAUUAAAGAGCCUCGCUUCGACAGAGUUUUUAAUUAAUUUCAAACACCACAUGCGAGUACACCACAUUUUUUGCUGCUUUCAAUUACAGAUAUCUUUUGCGCCCGGACCAGGAUUCACGCUCUGACCGCAUGUCUGUUGACCACCAUUGGGACAGCACCUGUACGGCCAAAAGCCCAAAAAUUCGACCGCCUGGUCAUUCCGAUGAUUCAUCCAAUAUUAAUAGCUUUUGCGAUGCGUGUGUAUCUCUUUAGCGCUCUUUGAUCGGCUAUCAUCGAGCGAUAUGUUGUGAAAUCAAAUGUGCGAUAAUUGCUUGGACAUUAUUCUCUCCAGGGCUGGACGAGGAAUGAAAAAAUCACACAUUUGCUAUUGAAUAUAACAAUUAAUAGCAUAAUUUCCCAGGGCUAUCCUAGAUGCAUUCAGUUAAAACGAAGUUCGAUCGGUAGCUAAUUAUGAUGCUGCGCCGAAUCUCAAUCUAAGCGAAAUUUGUAGCUGACAUAAUUAAAAAAUCGUAUUUGCUACACAGAAGAUCCGUUCUAGUAGAUAGUCCUAGAGAACUUUAGCCAUUAAUUAAGUUCCGAGAAGACAGUUCUUUGAUGAAUGUGCGCUCCAAUAAUUAUAUUUUUUAGAAAUUAAAUUUCUUUGUUUUGCGCUUAAUUAUAAAAUCGAAAGUCGUGGGUGUUAUCAAUGGUUAUCAGAAAGUAUAUGUAGAUGUAGAUGUGUGCUUAUUAUGUCUGGCUACUUUCCGGUUGUCAACAAGAAAUCCU
Molecule: long non-coding RNA, 1073 nt
Filed under: Drosophila guanche
Lineage: Eukaryota; Metazoa; Arthropoda; Insecta; Diptera; Drosophilidae
Source: RNAcentral